RNAcentral lists this unclassified non-coding RNA (376 nucleotides) under soil metagenome. RNAcentral's name for it is "partial contains 5.8S ribosomal RNA, internal transcribed spacer 2, and large subunit ribosomal RNA". The stretch from base 1 to 120 matches the Rfam family "5.8S ribosomal RNA", at positions 35 to 154 of the family's 154-position model. The record is from RNAcentral.
GAUGAAGAACGUAGCGAAAUGCGAUAAGUAAUGUGAAUUGCAGAAUUCAGUGAAUCAUCGAAUCUUUGAACGCAUCUUGCGCUCCUUGGUAUUCUGAGGAGCAUGCCUGUUUGAGUGUCAUUAAAUUCUCAACUACACUGACUUUGAAUUGGUGUGGCUUGGAUUUGGGGGGAAAAUUGUUGUGGGCUUUUUGUAUAGUCUGCUCCCCUGAAAUUGAUUAGCGGUACCUUUGUGGAACUGUCUACAGGUGUGAUAAUUAUCUACAUCUUAGACAUCUGCUGGAAUGCUGCUUUCUAAACCUUACUUGUAUUGACAAUCUUGACCUCAUAUCAGGUAGGACUACCCGCUGAACUUAAGCAUAUCAAUAAGCGGAGGA